RNAcentral lists this ribosomal RNA (1942 nucleotides) under Stereobalanus canadensis. RNAcentral describes it as "SSU rRNA". It matches the Rfam family "Eukaryotic small subunit ribosomal RNA". The record is from RNAcentral. Lineage: Eukaryota; Metazoa; Hemichordata; Enteropneusta; Harrimaniidae.
CCGUACGAUCAAAUGUACAAGCGAAACUGCGAAUGGCUCAUUACAUCAGUUAUGGUUCCUUGGAUACGUUGCCUUCACACCCACGGCUAGUUGGAUAUCUGUAGUAAUUCUAGAGCUAAUACAUGCGACUCGGCGCCGGGCACCCCUCGUCGCCUCCGGGUGCUUGGGGAGCCACGGCGUGCUUUUAUUAGGAACGAAGACCGACGCGCGCCGGCUCCCGCCGACGCGCACCUCAUCGGUGGUGAACUCUAGGUAACUGUUUGGAUCGCACGGCCUCGCGAGAGCCGGCGACUCUUCCUUCAAGUGUCUGCCCCAUCAACUGGCGACGGUAGGGUACACGCUUACCGUGGUGGUAACGGGUGACGGGGAAUCAGGGUUCGAUUCCGGAGAGGGAGCCUGAGAAACGGCUACCACAUCCAAGGAAGGCAGCAGGCCCGCAAAUUACCCACUCUCGAUUCGAGGAGGUAGUGACGAAAGGUAAGGAGGCGGUGCUCGAUUCGAGCGCACUGCCGUCCGAAUGAGGACAGUUCAAAACAUUUCUCUAGGACCUAUAGAGGGCAAGUCUGGUGCCAGCAGCCGCGGUAAUUCCAGCUCCAACGGCGUACAUUAAAGCUGCUGCGGUUAAAAAGCUCGUAGUUGGAUCUCGGGCCCGCUCGGCCGGCCCCUGCUACCGUAGCAGUCGACUCUUCCCUUGCGGUCGAGGCGGCGCGCGGGCGGGAAGUCGGCCGAUGUCGAGCGCCCAUUCGAGUCGUCGGCCGAGAGUGCGGUACUCUUCGUCGGGUGCCGCGAUCGGUCGGACCCCGCACCGUGAGUAAAUUGGAGUGAUCAAAGCAGGCCGUGGAACCGGUCGCCGGUACAGUAAAGCAUGGAAUGAUGGAAUAAGGCCUCUGCUCUGCAUUGCGGUCGGUCCGUCGGGAGCAACCGGGAGGUAAUGGUUAAGAGGAACGGUCCGGGGGCAUUCGUACCGCGACGGGAGAGGUGAAAUUCAGGGAUCGUCGCGAGACGCGCAGCAGCGAAAGCAUUUGCCCAGGACGUUCCGGUUAAUCAAGAACGAAAGUCGGAGGUUCGAAGACGAUCAGAUACCGUCCUAGUUCCGACCGUAAACGAUGCCGACGGGCAGUCCGCCUGCGCCCUUCCUUAGCGUAACAAGGUACGCGGCCCGGCGGGCGGCCAAGGGGAAACCCAGAGUCUUUGGGUUCCGGGGGUAGUACGGUUGCAAAGCGGAAACUUAAAGGAAUUGACGGAAGGGCACCACCAGGAGUGGAGCCUGCGGCCUAAUUCGACUCAACGCGGGGAAACUCACCCGGUCCGGACGCGGCCAGGAUUGACAGAUUAAAAGCUCUUUCUCGAUUCCGCGGGUGGUGGUGCAUGGCCGUUCAUAGUUGGUGGAGCGAUUUGUCUGGUUGAUUCCGAUAACGAACGAGACUCCGGCCUACUUACUAGUCGCGCGGCGGCUGUAUCGGUCGUCGGCGCCGCGACGGCGGGGGGCGUCGGUUGUUUGCGCGGCCGGCGUGCCUCACGUUCGACUUCUUAGAGGGACGGGCGGCGUAGUAGCCGCACUAGAAGGAGCGAUAACAGGUCUGUGAUGCCCUUAGACGUCUGGGGCUGCACGCGCGCUACACUGAAAGAGUCAGCGGGAGCCGGCGCCAGGGCCGGAAGGACUCGCGAGGAAUCUCUCAACCUCUUUCGUGAUGGGGAUAGGGAUUUGGAACUGUUUCCCUUGAACGAGGAAUUCCCAGUAGGUGCGACUCGUCACGUCGCGUCGAUUACGUCCCUGCCCUUUGUACACACCGCCCGUCGCUACUACCGAUCGAAUGGCCGAGUGAGAUCCUUGGACGGGAGUUCGGCGGGGCAGUCGCGCGCAACCCGCGUGCGUUCGGCCUCGGCCUCUCGGAAGACGCUCGAACUCGAUACGUUUAGAGGAAGUAAAAGUCGUUAACAU